AUUGAACGCUGGCGGCAUGCUUUACACAUGCAAGUCGAACGGCAGCACGGGCUUCGGCCUGGUGGCGAGUGGCGAACGGGUGAGUAAUAUAUCGGAACGUACCCAGAAGUGGGGGAUAACGUAGCGAAAGUUACGCUAAUACCGCAUACGAUCUAUGGAUGAAAGCAGGGGACCGCAAGGCCUUGUGCUCCUGGAGCGGCCGAUAUCUGAUUAGCUAGUUGGUGAGGUAAAGGCUCACCAAGGCGACGAUCAGUAGCUGGUCUGAGAGGACGACCAGCCACACUGGAACUGAGACACGGUCCAGACUCCUACGGGAGGCAGCAGUAGGGAAUUUUGGACAAUGGGCGCAAGCCUGAUCCAGCAAUGCCGCGUGAGUGAAGAAGGCCUUCGGGUUGUAAAGCUCUUUUGUCAGGGAAGAAACGGUAGAGGCUAAUAUCCUGUGCUAAUGACGGUACCUGAAGAAUAAGCACCGGCUAACUACGUG
This 484-nucleotide ribosomal RNA is filed under the name uncultured bacterium. Its description in RNAcentral is "partial 16S ribosomal RNA". It matches the Rfam family "Bacterial small subunit ribosomal RNA", at positions 30 to 507 of the family's 1533-position model. The record is from RNAcentral.